GUGGGGAAUUUUGGACAAUGGGCGCAAGCCUGAUCCAGCAAUGCCGCGUGCAGGAAGAAGGCCUUCGGGUUGUAAACUGCUUUUGUACGGAACGAAAAGGCUCUGGUUAAUACCUGGGGCUCAUGACGGUACCGUAAGAAUAAGCACCGGCUAACUACGUGCCAGCAGCCGCGGUAAUACGUAGGGUGCAAGCGUUAAUCGGAAUUACUGGGCGUAAAGCGUGCGCAGGCGGUUUUGUAAGACAGACGUGAAAUCCCCGGGCUCAACCUGGGAAUGGCGCUUGUGACUGCAAAGCUGGAGUGCGGCAGAGGGGGAUGGAAUUCCGCGUGUAGCAGUGAAAUGCGUAGAUAUGCGGAGGAACACCGAUGGCGAAGGCAAUCCCCUGGGCCUGCACUGACGCUCAUGCACGAAAGCGUGGGGAGCAAACAGGAUUAGAAACCCUAGUAGUCC
RNAcentral lists this ribosomal RNA (450 nucleotides) under uncultured bacterium. RNAcentral describes it as "partial 16S ribosomal RNA". It matches the Rfam family "Bacterial small subunit ribosomal RNA", at positions 354 to 796 of the family's 1533-position model. The record is from RNAcentral.